GAUGAACGCUGGCGGCGUGCCUAAUACAUGCAAGUCGAGCGAACGGACGAGAAGCUUGCUUCUCUGAUGUUAGCGGCGGACGGGUGAGUAACACGUGGAUAACCUACCUAUAAGACUGGGAUAACUUCGGGAAACCGGAGCUAAUACCGGAUAAUAUUUUGAACCGCAUGGUUCAAAAGUGAAAGACGGUCUUGCUGUCACUUAUAGAUGGAUCCGCGCUGCAUUAGCUAGUUGGUAAGGUAACGGCUUACCAAGGCAACGAUGCAUGGCCGACCUGAGAGGGUGAUCGGCCACACUGAAACUGAGACACGGUCCAGACUCCUACGGGAGGCAGCAGUAGGGAAUCUUCCGCAAUGGGCGAAAGCCUGACGGAGCAACGCCGAGUGAGUGAUGAAGGUCUUCGGAUCGUAAAACUCUGUUAUUAGGGAAGAACAUAUGUGUAAGUAACUGUGCACAUCUUGACGGUACCUAAUCAGAAAGCCACGGCUAACUACGUG
This 497-nucleotide ribosomal RNA is filed under the name uncultured bacterium. Its description in RNAcentral is "partial 16S ribosomal RNA". It matches the Rfam family "Bacterial small subunit ribosomal RNA", at positions 28 to 507 of the family's 1533-position model. The record is from RNAcentral.